RNAcentral lists this non-coding RNA (29 nucleotides) under Mus musculus (house mouse). Lineage: Eukaryota; Metazoa; Chordata; Mammalia; Rodentia; Muridae. The record is from RNAcentral.
UAGGAAGCUUGCCUGGAUGCAUGCCAAGU